UAAUACGUAGGGUGCGAGCGUUAAUCGGAAUUACUGGGCGUAAAGCGUGCGCAGGCGGUUUCUUAAGCCAGACGUGAAAUCCCCGGGCUUAACCUGGGAACUGCGUUUGGAACUGGGAGACUAGAGUGUGUCAGAGGGAGGUGGAAUUCCGCGUGUAGCAGUGAAAUGCGUAGAUAUGCGGAGGAACACCGAUGGCGAAGGCAGCCUCCUGGGAUAACACUGACGCUCAUGCACGAAAGCGUGGGGAGCAAACAGG
RNAcentral lists this ribosomal RNA (256 nucleotides) under uncultured bacterium. RNAcentral's name for it is "partial 16S ribosomal RNA". It matches the Rfam family "Bacterial small subunit ribosomal RNA", at positions 521 to 776 of the family's 1533-position model. The record is from RNAcentral.